ACCGGCGCACGGGUGAGUAACACGUAUGCAACCUGCCCUCUUCAGGGGGACAACCUUCCGAAAGGGAGGCUAAUCCCGCGUAUAUCGGUUUCGGGCAUCCGAGAUCGAGGAAAGAUUCAUCGGAAGAGGAUGGGCAUGCGGCGCAUUAGCUAGACGGCGGGGUAACGGCCCACCGUGGCGACGAUGCGUAGGGGUUCUGAGAGGAAGGUCCCCCACACUGGUACUGAGACACGGACCAGACUCCUACGGAAGGCAGCAG
RNAcentral lists this ribosomal RNA (259 nucleotides) under uncultured bacterium. RNAcentral describes it as "partial 16S ribosomal RNA". It matches the Rfam family "Bacterial small subunit ribosomal RNA", at positions 94 to 354 of the family's 1533-position model. The record is from RNAcentral.